Long non-coding RNA from Bos taurus (domestic cattle), 985 nucleotides. NCBI's taxonomy places the organism in Eukaryota, Metazoa, Chordata, Mammalia, Artiodactyla, Bovidae. The record is from Ensembl.
ACCCUGGAGUGGCCGGGUCAGGACGCAUAGCCCUCCUCUUGGCGCUGCCUUCGCCCCCCACCUCCGAGUGCCCCCACUUGCCCUGGUCCCGGGGUUCCCAUGUACAGGGGGAUACGAGUUCCUCCUGGGAUCAGCGCUCUGUUCACUGCCCCCUCAAAAAAAAGCCUGGGCUCCUGGUGCGGCUGCACCCGACUCGCAGCAGCGCACCCCUCCUCUUGCUGACGCCCCAGGGCCCGGGAGAGACCGGCGACGGGGAGCGCAGGCGACGCCCGGCGCCGGGAUGCUCCAGCGUGCCUCCGGGUGCGCGGGGUGCGCAGGGGGGCCCCGGCGCCCUGCGCGGUCAGCGGUGGUGGGCAGGGGUGCCUGGCGUGCUCCGGUCGCCCGGCGCCCGCGCUACCUCGGGGAGACCUCUGCCGCCGCCCGAGCGCGCAUCCCGGCCCGGGGGCGCUCCCUGCCGGCCGCCGCGCGCACCAGCCAGGCUGAGCCCCGGCAGCAGAGCUGCGGGCGCCUCUGUCCCCCCACCCCCAGGGCGGGCCAGGCCUCCGGUGCUGCGGCUCCAUCACCCACGCCCUCGGGGCUGAGCUGCCUCACUGCGCAGGCGCGGAGGUGCGCACCUGCUCCUUUGAGACGCUCACCUGUCCUUGUUCUUACCGGCAGGAGGGCCCGCCAUAAAACAUAUCCACCCCGCCGGGGCUCCUCCGAGCCAGACAAAUCGCCCACGCUCUGGGGGAUGAUAACUCUGCCACCAAUCUUCCCUCCUGUCAGCACAAAACUGUUCAAUCAACAGGAGUGUGAGCUGUGUCUUUUGUGAAAUUAGCACAGGAGGAAAUACAACCUGGGCUGGGGACUGGGGCCGUGGGUGCAGGAAGGGGCCAAACCACUGUGGGCGAUGACCUUGAACACACGCCUUGCCUGCCGGCUUCUCGGCCUGAGUCUGGGUCUUAGGAGGGCACAUCCGUGAGACGGCAAGCAUACUGCCCAGGAG